RNAcentral lists this ribosomal RNA (784 nucleotides) under uncultured prokaryote. Its description in RNAcentral is "bacterial SSU rRNA". It matches the Rfam family "Bacterial small subunit ribosomal RNA", at positions 684 to 1482 of the family's 1533-position model. The record is from RNAcentral.
AAAUGCUUAGAUAUCACGAAGNACUCCGAUUGCGAAGGCAGCUUGCUGGACUGUAACUGACGCUGAGGCACGAAAGCGUGGGGAUCAANCAGGAUUAGAUACCCUGGUAGUCCACGCCGUAAACGAUGAAUGCUAGCUGUUAGCGAUAUACUGUUAGCGGCACAGAGAAAUCGUUAAGCAUUCCACCUGGGGAGUACGCCGGCAACGGUGAAACUCAAAGGAAUUGACGGGGGCCCGCACAAGCGGAGGAACAUGUGGUUUAAUUCGAUGAUACGCGAGGAACCUUACCUGGGCUUAAAUUGCAGUGGAAUAACGUGGAAACAUGUUAGCCUUCGGGCCGCUGUGAAGGUGCUGCAUGGUUGUCGUCAGCUCGUGCCGUGAGGUGUCGGCUUAAGUGCCAUAACGAGCGCAACCCUCAUCGAUAGUUACUAACAGGUUAAGCUGAGGACUCUAUCGAGACUGCCGACGUAAGUCGUGAGGAAGGUGGGGAUGACGUCAAAUCAGCACGGCCCUUACGUCCAGGGCUACACACGUGUUACAAUGGGGGGUACAAAGGGCAGCUACCUGGCGACAGGAUGCUAAUCUCAAAAACCUCUCUCAGUUCGGAUUGGAGUCUGCAACCCGACUCCAUGAAGCUGGAUUCGCUAGUAAUCGCGCAUCAGCCACGGCGCGGUGAAUACGUUCCCGGGCCUUGUACACACCGCCCGUCAAGCCAUGGGAGCCGGGGGGACCUGAAGUAUGCAACCGUAAGGAGCGUCCUAGGGUAAAACUGGUGACUGGGGCU